Molecule: ribosomal RNA, 497 nt
Filed under: uncultured bacterium
Lineage: Bacteria
Description: partial 16S ribosomal RNA
Rfam family: Bacterial small subunit ribosomal RNA
Source: RNAcentral
GAUGAACGCUGGCGGCGUGCCUAAUACAUGCAAGUCGAGCGAACGGACGAGAAGCUUGCUUUUCUGACGUUAGCGGCGGACGGGUGAGUAACACGUGGAUAACCUACCUAUAAGACUGGGAUAACUUCGGGAAACCGGAGCUAAUACCGGAUAAUAUUUUGAACCGCAUGGUUCAAAAGUGAAAGACGGUCUUGCUGUCACUUAUAGAUGGAUCCGCGCUGCAUUAGCUAGUUGGUAAGGUAACGGCUUACCAAGGCAACGAUGCAUAGCCGACCUGAGAGGGUGAUCGGCCACACUGGAACUGAGACACGGUCCAGACUCCUACGGGAGGCAGCGGUAGGGAAUCUUCCGCGAUGGGCGAAAGCCUGACGGAGCAACGCCGCGUGAGUGAUGAAGGUCUUCGGAUCGGAAAACUCUGUUAGUAGGGAAGAACAUAUGUGUAAGUAACUGUGCACAUCUUGACGGUACCUAAUCAGAAAGCCACGGCUAACUACGUG